RNAcentral lists this ribosomal RNA (310 nucleotides) under uncultured soil bacterium. RNAcentral describes it as "bacterial SSU rRNA". It matches the Rfam family "Bacterial small subunit ribosomal RNA", at positions 26 to 365 of the family's 1533-position model. The record is from RNAcentral.
AGAACGAACGCUGGCGGCAUGCCUAAUACAUGCAAGUCGAACGAACACUUCGGUGUUAGUGGCGCACGGGUGCGUAACGCGUGGGAAUCUGCCCUUGGGUUCGGAAUAACAGUUGGAAACGACUGCUAAUACCGGAUGAUAUCGAAAGAUCAAAGAUUUAUCGCCCAGGGAUGAGCCCGCGUAGGAUUAGCUAGUUGGUGAGGUAAAGGCUCACCAAGGCGACGAUCCUUAGCUGGUCUGAGAGGAUGAUCAGCCACACUGGGACUGAGACACGGCCCAGACUCCUACGGGAGGCAGCAGUAGGAAUAUU